Long non-coding RNA from Cercocebus atys (sooty mangabey), 694 nucleotides. RefSeq lists it as uncharacterized. The transcript has 2 exons. NCBI's taxonomy places the organism in Eukaryota, Metazoa, Chordata, Mammalia, Primates, Cercopithecidae. The record is from RefSeq and is a predicted model, not a curated record.
UGCAAACACCGCAGAGCAGUAAGCAUCGCUGAUGUCGGUGUCGGGUGUGUGGACGUUCUCAGCAUAGAGGAUGAAGACCCUCAGCAUGCCUGCUCCGACGAGCUGUAAUCUAAUGCUCCGGCUGCGGAGUCUCCCAAUGACACGGCAUUUUGCACCUGGCUGGGCGGCGGCCGCGAUGACCGGGGGCUGGACCAGGGCUCCGGGCGCCCGGCGUAGCCCAGAUCUCGCUCUUGGACAGGAGAAGGGCUCGGCUCCUCCCCCGAGCUUCCACCCCUGGCUGAGCGCUGCGCCAAGUCGGUUGCCUCCUUCCGCCUCGGGGAUUGGAGCAGUCUCUCCAGAACCCAACCCAACCGCCCGGGUAGGACGGGGGAUCCUGGGGAGGCUCUUUCCGUAAGAGAAGCCUGGAGCUGAGAAUUUCAUUGACAAGCAAGGCAGCUGUCUUAAAAACUUUGUCCCCUUUUUCUGGCUUUGAAAGCAGCACAUGCCAUUUUAAAACAAAAAGCAUAAAGAAAGAAAUCCCUGGUUCUGAAAAAAAUAGUAUAUGAACAUUUGGGUAUUUGGCAGCCCAGGCUUUCUCCUCUGAAUGUAUAUACACAUGUAAACUGCAGUAUUUAUUAUGUAUCUGAGUGUAGAAUGCAGUCUGUGUCCCACGUUUUCAUGUAACAUCUUGCAUCAUUCAAAAAUUAUUCAUAAA